UGGGGAAUUUUGGACAAUGGGGGAAACCCUGAUCCAGCCAUCCCGCGUGUGCGAUGAAGGCCUUCGGGUUGUAAAGCACUUUUGGCAGGAAAGAAACGUCAUGGGUUAAUACCCCGUGAAACUGACGGUACCUGCAGAAUAAGCACCGGCUAACUACGUGCCAGCAGCCGCGGUAAUACGUAGGGUGCAAGCGUUAAUCGGAAUUACUGGGCGUAAAGCGUGCGCAGGCGGUUCGGAAAGAAAGAUGUGAAAUCCCAGAGCUCAACUUUGGAACUGCAUUUUUAACUACCGGGCUAGAGUGUGUCAGAGGGAGGUGGAACUCCGCGUGUAGCAGUGAAAUGCGUAGAUAUGCGGAGGAACACCGAUGGCGAAGGCAGCCUCCUGGGAUAACACUGACGCUCAUGCACGAAAGCGUGGGGAGCAAACAG
RNAcentral lists this ribosomal RNA (428 nucleotides) under Acidobacteriota bacterium. RNAcentral describes it as "Acidobacteria bacterium partial 16S ribosomal RNA". It matches the Rfam family "Bacterial small subunit ribosomal RNA", at positions 355 to 775 of the family's 1533-position model. The record is from RNAcentral. Lineage: Bacteria; Pseudomonadati; Acidobacteriota.